GAUGAACGCUGGCGGCGUGCCUAAUACAUGCAAGUCGAGCGAACAGACGAGGAGCUUGCUUCUCUGAUGUUAGCGGCGGACGGGUGAGUAACACGUGGAUAACCUACCUAUAAGACUGGGAUAACUUCGGGAAACCGGAGCUAAUACCGGAUAAUAUUUUGAACCGCAUGGUUCAAUAGUGAAAGACGGUUUUGCUGUCACUUAUAGAUGGAUCCGCGCUGCAUUAGCUAGUUGGUAAGGUAACGGCUUACCAAGGCAACGAUGCGUAGCCGACCUGAGAGGGUGAUCGGCCACACUGGAACUGAGACACGGUCCAGACUCCUACGGGAGGCAGCAGUAGGGAAUCUUCCGCAAUGGGCGAAAGCCUGACGGAGCAACGCCGCGUGAGUGAUGAAGGUCUUCGGAUCGUAAAACUCUGUUAUUAGGGAAGAACAAAUGUGUAAGUAACUAUGCACAUCUUGACGGUACCUAAUCAGAAAGCCACGGCUAACUACGUG
This 497-nucleotide ribosomal RNA is filed under the name uncultured bacterium. RNAcentral describes it as "partial 16S ribosomal RNA". It matches the Rfam family "Bacterial small subunit ribosomal RNA", at positions 28 to 507 of the family's 1533-position model. The record is from RNAcentral.